AUCAACUUUCGAUGGUAGGAUAGAGGCCUACCAUGGUGGUAACGGGUAACGGGGUGUUAGGGCACGACACCGGAGAGGGAGCCUGAGAAACGGCUACCACAUCCAAGGAUGGCAGCAGGCGCGCAAAUUACCCAAUCCCGACACGGGGAGGUAGUGACAAUAAAUAACAAUACGGGGCUCUUUCGGGUCUCGUAAUUGGAAUGAGUACAAUUUAAAUCCCUUAACGAGGAACAAUUGGAGGGCAAGUCUGGUGCCAGCAGCCGCGGUAAUUCCAGCUCCAAUAGCGUAUAUUAAAGUUGCUGCAGUUAAAAAGCUCGUAGUUGAAUUUCGGGACCGAUAUAUCGGUCGUGCCUCGGUACGUACUGGUAUUUUCGGUUUCUACCUUCUGACGAACCUUGAUGUCAUUAAUUUGGUGUCUUGGGAAAUCAGGACUGUUACUUUGAAAAAAUUAGAGUGUUUAAAGCAGGCUCACGCUUGAAUACAUUAGCAUGGAAUAAUGAAAUAGGACGUUUGAUUCUAUUUUGUUGGUUUCUAGGAUCGACGUAAUGAUUAAUAGGGAUAGUUGGGGGCAUUAGUAUUCAAUUGUCAGAGGUGAAAUUCUUGGAUUUAUUGAAGACUAACUACUGCGAAAGCAUUUGCCAAGGAUGUUUUCAUUAAUCAAGAACGAAAGUUAGGGGAUCGAAGACGAUCAGAUACCGUCGUAGUCUUAACCAUAAACUAUGCCGACUAGGGAUCGGAUGAUGUUAAUUUUUUAAUGACUCAUUCGGCGCCUUACGGGAAACCAAAGUGUUUGGGUUC
This 798-nucleotide ribosomal RNA is filed under the name uncultured Glomeromycotina. RNAcentral describes it as "SSU rRNA". It matches the Rfam family "Eukaryotic small subunit ribosomal RNA", at positions 314 to 1114 of the family's 1831-position model. Lineage: Eukaryota; Fungi; Glomeromycota. The record is from RNAcentral.